CAGAGGGAAUAAGUGAAGCUGCCAGCAUGAUCUGGCUUUGAUGGAUAAAAAAAAAAAAAUUUGUAUGAUGGAAAAACAUCAAAACAAUGACCUAACUUGACCACCAUUGGCUAGGUCAUGCUCUGACAGCUUCACUCCUUCCCUUU
This is a non-coding RNA of Thalictrum thalictroides, 146 nucleotides long. The record is from the annotation of a GenBank genome assembly. Lineage: Eukaryota; Viridiplantae; Streptophyta; Magnoliopsida; Ranunculales; Ranunculaceae.